Molecule: long non-coding RNA, 1417 nt
Filed under: Helianthus annuus (common sunflower)
Lineage: Eukaryota; Viridiplantae; Streptophyta; Magnoliopsida; Asterales; Asteraceae
Source: RNAcentral
UUUUAUUUUCCUCAAAACCCUAGGUUUCAUCUUUUAUCAAUUUAUUCUCUUUUGUGUCUUAUUUCUUCUGAAAACCCGGUUUGGAAUUUGCUUUCGUAGCUGACAAUCGACUCAACAUCGUCUUCAAGGUUUGCUUGCUGUCAUCUCUAUCUGUCGCCAUUUUUCACGGGUAUGCUAAUUUCACUUGGAUCGUUUGAAGAUUCUCUAAAGUUUGUCACUCUACUUUUAAGAUUCAGGAGAUACCAGCAAGGUUUAAAAGAACGGAAUCGAGCCUCGAGGUGUUUUUCGUAACUAACUCCAUUAGGCGCACCUGAGGCGCACGUUUUCUUACUGCCUCAGCCCUGAGAGGCGUACAGACAAACAUAACCCGAUGAGGCGCUCAUACACUUUUUCUCAUGACCGAUGACACUUUUUCUAUUGAUCAAGUGAAGAAUAGAAAGAGUAAGGAUUCGAGAUCGAUGAAACUGUUCAAGAUCGCACUUGCGGAUUUUGUGAAGGAGGUAUUAAAUCCGUCAUGGAGACAGGGUAAUAUGAGUAAAGAGGCGUUUAAGACAAUCAUUAAGAAGACUGUUUAUAAAGUGUCGGGAGCUAUGAAGAAACACCAGAUACCCAAGUCCCAAACCAAGAUAAAUCAUUACAUUGAUUCUUCUCAAAGAAAGCUCACUAAGCUUGUAAUGGGCUAUGUUGACAAAUAUGUGAAGGUAUAGUAAAGACGUGAUUUGUGGCUGAAAAUGGGGAAUGGAUAUGAUGAAUAUGAUCAGGUAAGCAGCUCUUGCUGUACUGGUAGGAUAUUACUUGAACAACAUUUGAGAUUCAACGACACUGGUGUCUUGUGCUGAAGAACAUGGGAGUCGAAUGGCAAUGAUUAUAUCUGAUGGAUGAUCAUGUUGGGUCCAGUCUUCGACAUACUAGUAUGAACUCCCAUAAACAAGCUACAAACCUUAUGGUUGCUGCACCAGUUGUAUAAAUCGUACGAGCUCGUCAUCUUAGUUAAAUGCUAAAGCCUCAAUGACUAGUGUGUCACCACUGGGACCUCUUAGCAUAAAAAACAAGCACGCCUUAGUUUGAUGACAGAUUUUGACGACUUCAAUGGCCCUCAGGAGUACCAUACCGGCGACAAAAAGAGUUGAGAGAAUUGUGGAAUGACUUUUGCUCUGGUACCUUAAGAACAUAAGAAUUUAGUUCAUACCGAGAUUGUAUUGGUGCAUCCAUCGCAUGGCCCUAUCCGUUCAUCUCGAUAGUCCAUGAGGAUUGAGGGCGCAUGAUGACUCAAGAUUUUAUGAUUCUUAUUUCUUUAAUUGCUUUUAAUUUCUUUGUUAAAUAUUAAGAUUUUAUGUUAGAUAAUGUUAUAACUUAUUUAUGGUUAGUGUUUUUGUUAAGAACAUGCUUAUUUGAAAUAUAAUGAAGUUUUAUUUCU